UCAUUCUCCUAUUGGUUUUUAGCUUGAUUAAAUCUCGCUGAAUUAUAGUGGUGUCGCUACCAGACUACAACAUGAUAGAUAUUUCGUUGGAUGUGACUGGGAUUGUUCACCUUAAAUAUUAUG
RNAcentral lists this unclassified non-coding RNA (123 nucleotides) under uncultured Saccharomycetales. Its description in RNAcentral is "sequence contains ITS2". Lineage: Eukaryota; Fungi; Ascomycota; Saccharomycetes. The record is from RNAcentral.